AUGGCGCUGAGCAACCUGCUCUUCGCCCAGUGCGUCGGCUACUUCCUGGCCUUCCUCUGCAGCUUCGUGGUGGUGGUGCCGCUGUCCGAGAACAGCAACGACUGCCGCGGCCGCUGCCUGCUCUUCACCGAGGGCAUGUGGCUCAGCGCCAACCUGACGGCGGAGCGGCAGCGCUUCACCGUGCAGGAGUGGGGGCCGCCGGCCGCCUGCCGCUUCAGCGUCUUCGCCGGGCUGCUCUCCCUGCUGCUGGCCGCCGCGCAGGCCUGGCGGACGCUCUUCUUCCUCUGCAAGGGCCACGAGGACUCUUUCUUUUAUGCCUUCCUGAAUCUGCUGAUCAGCGUCUUUGUGGUUUUUGUCAUCUUUAUUGCUAGCACUAUAGUGAGCGUAGGAUUUAACAUGUGGUGUGAUGCUGUUACCGAAAAAGGAAGCAUGCCAAAUAGCUGUGAAGAACUACAGGAUAUAGAUCUUGAACUGAAUUUAGAAACCUCUGCCUUCUAUGAUCAGUUUGCUAUUGCACAGUUUGGUCUCUGGGCUGCCUGGCUGACUUGGCUGGGAAUUACCAUUUUGGCCUUCCUGAAGGUUUAUCACAACUACAGGCAGGAAGAUCUGCUAGACAGCCUGAUCCAUGAGAAGGAGCUGCUACUAGGACGAUCCUCUUCACGAACCUUUUUGCAGGAUGAGAAAAGUGGCAUGAUCUAAUGUGUAAGCCACUCGACAGUGCAGGUUGUAAAUUUUGCAAUUCAUUAUCACAAGCUGAAAUCAAGAGAAUUGGAACUGCUCAUGGGAACUGGAAAAUGCACCAUCCACAUAAAUCAGAAUGCAAGUGAAUAGCAAAGAAAGUUGUUAAUGUAUUUCACAUGAGGAAUUUAAACAUCCAUGUUCAAAGCAUGAAGGUCCCAGUUCUUCAGUCCCUAAGUAGCCAAAACUAGCAGUCACUUCAGUCUUAGUGUUACCCAUGUGGUCAGUGUUGGUGAUAGCUUUACAUACAGGAGGUGAAACAAGUCUUUUUGAGAAAUGUGCUGAUCUACUCUCAGCUUUUGUAGGGCUUUAACUAUAUCAGUCUGACCCCCAGUUAUAGACACAGUUAUACUGGUGUAAAAGUGCUUAGGUCGAUAUAACACUCAAUUUUUUUCCUGAGUUAGCAAACUGAAAUAUCUCUGACUCUGAAAGCUGUGCCUUUAAUUUUGGCAUUUCGAAGUAUAACAAAUAAUGUACGACUGGGCCUUUUCUCUGUGUAGCUUGUGAUUUGUGAAGUAAAACAGAGUGUGUGUUCUAAAAUCACUGUAAAUUCUCCAUUAUUAAAAGGAGAACAUUAACAAGGUCAUUGUAGAUUUAAAGGGUGUGUCUUUAGUAUGUUACUGCCUGCAGAGAUUGAAAGUGUACCUUUACUGCUUGUUUAAUGCGGAGCCUGAAUGCAUCUGAACCUCUUCCAGAUAGAUGUCCUGUGAUUUACAUAUUUGUGAACUACUGUCUCUUCUUUUCUUGUAUCCACUUGGAAAAAGCUUUGAGAGCCUAGAUGAACAUUAUUUUUUCCUGCUAAAGAGGUCUGUGCAAUAGCUUCUUUAACAAUUUUAACAGUUUUCAUAGUUCUUUUAAUCUCUAAAACCAAGAGUGGGCCAGAUCCUUAACUGGGGUAUGUGGCAUAGAUCCAUUUACAUCACUGGAGCCAGGCCUGUUUACACCGACUGAGGAUAUGGCCCAAUAUAUUUUAAAUAUUAGCACUCAUGCAUUAUGCUAUCUAUUGCUGUGUUUAUUAACUGCUGAUUUGGUGGGGUAAACUGCAUGCAAUUUCACAGAACUGCAGAGUCUGAAUAAUGUUUGUUGUUGUUGUUUUUAUACAGUAGUGAAAUGGAUGCAGUUUACUUGUGGCAAAUCAGUUACUAGCAUUUUAAUAGAAUACUUUGUAAACAUUUGGCAAAAUGGAAAUAAUGAGCCUGAUCCUUCUGCCAGUGAAAUCACUGGCAAAAUUUGCGCUGGCUUUGAGGGGACCAGGAUUGGGGUCAGUGUAACUAAUGUGCCCUAGUAUUAUUGUUACUGAAUGAAUGUGUUUUUAUAUUGAAUGCUUUUUGCU
Molecule: RNA transcript, 2071 nt
Organism: Mauremys reevesii (Reeves's turtle)
Lineage: Eukaryota; Metazoa; Chordata; Testudines; Geoemydidae
Gene: TMEM179
Gene name: transmembrane protein 179
Exons: 5
Source: RefSeq, a predicted model, not a curated record